This 450-nucleotide ribosomal RNA is filed under the name uncultured bacterium. RNAcentral's name for it is "partial 16S ribosomal RNA". It matches the Rfam family "Bacterial small subunit ribosomal RNA", at positions 28 to 506 of the family's 1533-position model. The record is from RNAcentral.
AGCGAACGCUGGCGGCAUGCCUAACACAUGCAAGUCGCACGGGGGGGCUUCGGCCUCCCAGUGGCGGACGGGUGAGGAACGCGUAGGGACCUGUCGAGGGGUGGGGGAUAACCGCGGGAAACUGCGGCUAAUACCGCAUGACGCCGCGGCGUGACAGCCGGGGCCAAAGGCGAAAGCCGCCCGCCGAGGGGCCUGCGUCCGAUUAGCUGGUUGGCGGGGUAGCGGCCCACCAAGGCGUCGAUCGGUAGCUGGUCGGAGAGGGUGAUCAGCCACACUGGGACUGGGACCCGGCCCGGACCCCACCGGGGGGCCGCAGGGGGGAAUAUUGGACAGUGGGCGCAAGCCUGACCCAGCAAGGCCGGGGGGGUGAAGAAGGUCUUCGGAUGGUAAACCCCUUUCGGGGGGGACGUUGGGGCGGGACCCCGAAGAAGAAGCCCCGGCUAAUUUCGG